GAACCCACGGACCCUGUAGCUGGAGCAGAGGAAGCUUGAAUGCCUGUUUGGGGAAGAAAGCCUUUGCUGCCCAUCCUUAGGCCUCUCCUGUGAUAGGGGAAGAGGACAUAGAAACGCUGAGAGAGCCAGGGCCUCCGCUUCUCUGGAGUAUUCCCCCUUCUGUAAGUGGAAGGAAAGGAAGCACAGCAGAAGGAUUGGAAUCAAGACAGCCUGGCUCCAGAGCCUGUUUUCAUAACUACGAGAGAAUGCACCAGAUUCCUUCUGAACGCCGCCUGCCGCGUGCACGGCUACAACUCUAUUUCCAGCCAUGCUGUGGCAAGCAGUUCCGGGCGGGCUUCAGCUCCCUUUGCACCACCAGCACCUCGCCUCCUGUCAGCAUGAGGCAGUUUUCAUUUUCUGCCCAGGGGCUUCCGCAGCGCCCCAACACAAGGUUGGCAGAAGCGGGCUCAGCCGGAGGACUUGUGGAGGGAAGUUGCUUCCACUGAGCCAGCCUCAAUCUGGGGUGCACAGGCGCCACCAGGUGAAUGCUUCUGCCAGGCCGUCAUCUGACCCAUAAGGUCCCUCUGUGCACUGCUUGGAAGGUCCUGGCAGGGCUGAGCCCCAGCCACCCACGGCAGUGACCUAAUAAUGCACCGUUAUCUUGGCUCUUCUGCUCUCUCUUGUUUCCCACUCCUGUUCGUCCCUCAUUUCUGGUCCCUAGAAUGACUUCCAAAAUAAACUCCCUGUACACAA
This 732-nucleotide long non-coding RNA is filed under the name Homo sapiens (human). RNAcentral's name for it is "HSALNT0362523". The record is from RNAcentral. Lineage: Eukaryota; Metazoa; Chordata; Mammalia; Primates; Hominidae.